GGAGUUGUAGCUCAGUGGUAGAGCGUUUGCCCAGUAGGUAUGAGGCACUGGGUUGGAUCCUCAGCACCA
Molecule: transfer RNA, 69 nt
Filed under: Marmota monax (woodchuck)
Lineage: Eukaryota; Metazoa; Chordata; Mammalia; Rodentia; Sciuridae
Description: tRNA.Thr
Source: RNAcentral